Cornus florida is the source of this 1908-nucleotide long non-coding RNA. RefSeq lists it as uncharacterized. The transcript has 2 exons. The record is from RefSeq and is a predicted model, not a curated record. Lineage: Eukaryota; Viridiplantae; Streptophyta; Magnoliopsida; Cornales; Cornaceae.
UUUUUUUUUUUUAUCAUCAUCCGUAACAUCCAAGCCCUAGCCUCUCGCCUCUUCAAGAAAGUUCUACCAGGUGAUUGUCAUCCCUCAUCUGCGAGCAUCGAUCGGCAACGGAGACUCAACGGCCGACCAACAACACCACUGAUUUUUCAAGAACAAAUUCGUGCUUGAGUUCUUCUCCAACUAGUACUUCUAAGGUAUUCAACGUUCCUUUCAUUUUCUGUUCUUUUAUUGUAUGUAUGUCUUAUAUAUGGUUAAUUUUGAUUAUUUAAUUAUGUUUCAUGUUCGAAUUGAAGUAAAAGGUUCAUGCUUGCAAGGCUGUAUUGUUAAUUUGUUAUUCUAGAAUUUAUUUUACAAAUAAUGGCUUCAUCUGCUACUUUUAAAGCCUCUUUUUUUAGUUUUAAUUCAUGUUCAGGAUUUAUUCUGAUUUGGGUAAUAAUGAAAUUGCUUGAAAUUUAUAGACAACAUUUUCCUUUUUGUGACUCUGUUCCUUUUUUCCAUCCAUGCUUUAUAGCUAUUCAAGGUCGAAAGACACCUAUACUUGAAUUGAUUUACUCUAAAUCUGUGGUGAUGAGUAGUUUUAACAAAGAACUUUCCACAUUUGACAAUCAUUAUAUCUUCUUUUGGGAGUAAAUGAAAAUAAAAUCAAGGUUGUUUGCUUCUCAAAAUAUAACUAUGUGAGAUGGGUUUUGCUAUCUAUUAUGUAAUGUUGAUUUCUGCAGGAACUAGUGUUUCAUCACAUGUUCAUUUUGUCCAUAUAUAAAGGCAGUAUGGUUUAUAACAUAAUGAAAAACUUACUUUUGCAAUUUGACAGCUUAUAUAUAGUGAUUUUGAGACAAUUUGUUGGUUAAUAUAGCUAAACCUAGACCUUCAAUCAUCUAAAUAUUUAAUUCAUAUUAACAUCUAAAUUUUAAACUUACAAAUAAAACCAUGAAGAGUUUUAAAAGUAAGUGUGCAAAAUGAGUGAAUAAUUUACUAUUUCUUCUGAUUUUUGAAGGUGGAUAAUUUAUUCAUCCUUCUAUUCAAGUCGAAAUUGAAGUCUACAUUAAGAACAGAAGCCUAGAGGUUCUUUCAUCUUGAUGACAGUAUGUUAGCUCCAACUAUCCAUACCACCCAUGAUUGGGUCUAAUCUUUAUUUGAGUGGAUGCUUCACUAACAAGUGUAGAACUAAGUUAAAAAGGUUUGAAAUUAAACAGAUAAAAUAACAUAUACCAUCUUCAUCAAUCUUAUACUGGCAAUUUGGUAAAACAUGGAUAAAUUUCAGAUUUUCUUAUAUUUGAACAGUCAUUCUAAACUUGAAUGGUGAGGCAAGCACAUAACCAGACAGCAUCUUUAUUGUGUUUAGUUACUGUAAUAUAAAGAUUUUGUUCCUUAUAUUAUUUUACAGUAUUAUAUGUUCAAUGCUAGGUUAUUUUAUUCGGAUCUAAUAAGUUGUAGAAGUGUGUUAAUUGUUGUAUUGAGAAAUGUGAUAGAACGUUGUUUUGGUAUAUUAAAAAUGCGUUGGCCGAUCCUUAAGUUGAUGCCUCCUUACAAACUGAGUGUACAAACACUUAUCGUUAUUGCUUGUUGCACAUUACAUAAUUUUAUUCGUAACGAAACCCAUUUAGAUCGUCUUUUUGAUGAAUAUGGGGAUGAGAAUGCCAAUCUUCAAGAAGAAGAAGUGGAGUUAGGUGGUACUUCUCAGAGAGUAAAUGUUACAUAGGAGCUAAUUCAAGAGAUGAGUGAAACCCGUGAUGCAGUUGCAAAUGAGUUGUGGAACAACUAUCAUGAUAGAUGAAUCACUUCUAUUUGCUCAUUAUAAUAUUGUAACUUUUAUUAGGAUUAUUUUUCUAUUUUUCAACUUGGAUAUUGUAAUAUUGUCACUUUGGAUUAAUUUUCUAUUUGGAUAUUGCAAUAUUGUCAUUUUUAUUA